UACGUAGGGAGCAAGCGUUAUCCGGAAUUAUUGGGUGUAAAGGGUGCGUAGACGGGAGAGCAAGUUGGCUGUGAAAUCCCUCGGCUUAACUGAGGAACUGCAACCAAAACUACUUUUCUUGAGUGCAGGAGAGGAAAGCGGAAUUCCUAGUGUAGCGGUGAAAUGCGUAGAUAUUAGGAGGAACACCAGUGGCGAAGGCGGCUUUCUGGACUGUAACUGACGUUGAGGCACGAAAGUGUGGGGAGCAAAC
Molecule: ribosomal RNA, 250 nt
Filed under: uncultured prokaryote
Description: partial 16S ribosomal RNA
Rfam family: Bacterial small subunit ribosomal RNA
Source: RNAcentral